RNAcentral lists this ribosomal RNA (497 nucleotides) under uncultured bacterium. Its description in RNAcentral is "partial 16S ribosomal RNA". It matches the Rfam family "Bacterial small subunit ribosomal RNA", at positions 28 to 507 of the family's 1533-position model. The record is from RNAcentral.
GAUGAACGCUGGCGGCGUGCCUAAUACAUGCAAGUCGAGCGAACAGACGAGGAGCUUGCUCCUCUGACGUUAGCGGCGGACGGGUGAGUAACACGUGGAUAACCUACCUAUAAGACUGGGAUAACUUCGGGAAACCGGAGCUAAUACCGGAUAAUAUAUUGAACCGCAUGGUUCAAUAGUGAAAGACGGUUUUGCUGUCACUUAUAGAUGGAUCCGCGCCGCAUUAGCUAGUUGGUAAGGUAACGGCUUACCAAGGCAACGAUGCGUAGCCGACCUGAGAGGGUGAUCGGCCACACUGGAACUGAGACACGGACCAGACGCCUGAGGGAGGCAGCAGUAGGGAAUCUGCCGCAAUGGGCGAAAGCUUGACGGAGCAACGCCGCGUGAGUGAUGAAGGUCUUCGGAUCGUAAAACUCUGUUAUUAGGGAAGAACAAAUGUGUAAGUAACUAUGCACGUCUUGACGGUACCUAAUCAGAAAGCCACGGCUAACUACGUG